RNAcentral lists this ribosomal RNA (450 nucleotides) under uncultured bacterium. RNAcentral describes it as "partial 16S ribosomal RNA". It matches the Rfam family "Bacterial small subunit ribosomal RNA", at positions 354 to 796 of the family's 1533-position model. The record is from RNAcentral.
GUGGGGAAUCUUCCGCAAUGGACGAAAGUCUGACGGAGCAACGCCGCGUGAACGAUGACGGCCUUCGGGUUGUAAAGUUCUGUUAUACGGGACGAAUGGCGUAGCGGUCAAUACCCGUUACGAGUGACGGUACCGUAAGAGAAAGCCACGGCUAACUACGUGCCAGCAGCCGCGGUAAUACGUAGGUGGCAAGCGUUGUCCGGAAUUAUUGGGCGUAAAGGGCGCGCAGGCGGCGUCGUAAGUCGGUCUUAAAAGUGCGGGGCUUAACCCCGUGAGGGGACCGAAACUGCGAUGCUAGAGUAUCGGAGAGGAAAGCGGAAUUCCUAGUGUAGCGGUGAAAUGCGUAGAUAUUAGGAGGAACACCAGUGGCGAAAGCGGCUUUCUGGACGACAACUGACGCUGAGGCGCGAAAGCCAGGGGAGCAAACGGGAUUAGAAACCCUAGUAGUCC